Molecule: ribosomal RNA, 1134 nt
Filed under: Chromosphaera perkinsii
Lineage: Eukaryota; Ichthyosporea; Dermocystida
Description: Ichthyosporea sp. XGB-2017a bacterial SSU rRNA
Rfam family: Bacterial small subunit ribosomal RNA
Source: RNAcentral
GGGCGAAAGCCUGAUGCAGCGACGCCGCGUGGGGGAUGACGGCCUUCGGGUUGUAAACCCCUUUCAGUAGGGAAGAAGCGAGAGUGACGGUACCUGCAGAAGAAGCGCCGGCUAACUACGUGCCAGCAGCCGCGGUAAUACGUAGGGCGCAAGCGUUGUCCGGAAUUAUUGGGCGUAAAGAGCUUGUAGGUGGCUUGUCGCGUCUGCCGUGAAAACCCGAGGCUCAACCUCGGGCGUGCGGUGGGUACGGGCAGGCUAGAGUGUGGUAGGGGAGACUGGAACUCCUGGUGUAGCGGUGAAAUGCGCAGAUAUCAGGAAGAACACCGAUGGCGAAGGCAGGUCUCUGGGCCAUUACUGACACUGAGAAGCGAAAGCAUGGGUAGCGAACAGGAUUAGAUACCCUGGUAGUCCAUGCCGUAAACGUUGGGCACUAGGUGUGGGGGACAUUCCACGUUUUCCGCGCCGUAGCUAACGCAUUAAGUGCCCCGCCUGGGGAGUACGGCCGCAAGGCUAAAACUCAAAGGAAUUGACGGGGGCCCGCACAAGCGGCGGAGCAUGCUGAUUAAUUCGAUGCAACGCGAAGAACCUUACCAAGGCUUGACAUGCACCGGACGGUCGCAGAGAUGUGGCUUUCUUCGGACUGGUGCACAGGUGGUGCAUGGUUGUCGUCAGCUCGUGUCGUGAGAUGUUGGGUUAAGUCCCGCAACGAGCGCAACCCUCGUUCUAUGUUGCCAGCACGUCAUGGUGGGGACUCAUAGGAGACUGCCGGGGUCAACUCGGAGGAAGGUGGGGACGACGUCAAAUCAUCAUGCCCCUUAUGUCUUGGGCUUCAAGCAUGCUACAAUGGUCGGUACAAUGGGUUGCGAAACUGUGAGGUGGAGCGAAUCCCAAAAAGCCGGCCUCAGUUCGGAUUGGGGUCUGCAACUCGACCCCAUGAAGUCGGAGUCGCUAGUAAUCGCAGAUCAGCAACGCUGCGGUGAAUACGUUCCCGGGCCUUGUACACACCGCCCGUCAAGUCACGAAAGUCGGUAACACCCGAAGCCAGUGGCCCAUCCUCGUGAGGGAGCUGUCUAAGGUGGGAUCGGUGAUUGGGACUAAGUCGUAACAAGGUAGCCGUACCGGAAGGUGCGGCUG